GCUCUAACGAAUUUGAAUGAGGAGCCUCAGCGCUUUCGGCGCCAUUUUCGAGUGAUGCCUGAUCUCAUCAAUCUAGCGGGAGAGAAGGGAUAACCUGUCCGAGAGUAGCGCGACGCUAGGAUCGCGCCGGAAAAUCCCCCAAAAAUCAUCAAAAAAAUAACUUAGACCAAAGGACAGUCGGUGGGGCUUCGCCAGACCCGGCGCCAUCGUCCUUGAAACGCAGCGUCUCAAGGAAAAGUAGCGUGGAACUUGGUGUUUCCUGCCGACAAGCCUUUGCACCUACGAUUUAACGAUUUUAACCUUUAGAAGAGAGCCAGUUGUGGAAAACAACCAGUUUUUUGAUCGAAUACCCACGUAAUACAUUGGAAUAUGAUAGGAGAUUAAGGAAGCUGCCAGUUCCACAGAAAUGAGAGGAUGGAUGCUAACAUCCCAGACUAUCUCUUGCUCUUGGACCAAUGCUGUAGUCACUGACCUACAUAUUACUAAAAGUAUUCUACUUCUUAGAUGACCGAAAUAAACUGCCUGGUGUCAGAUUCAAGUUUGGACCAACACAGACUCGCUGAAUCAUGUUGAACUGGAUCUCCUUGCCUCACAUGGAUGGCUAGUCUCAUGUUUGUAGGGACCCCCACAAAAGUGUAAGCCAAAUAAACUUUCCUCCACAA
RNAcentral lists this long non-coding RNA (662 nucleotides) under Rattus norvegicus (Norway rat). Its description in RNAcentral is "long non-coding RNA NONRATT010989". The record is from RNAcentral. Lineage: Eukaryota; Metazoa; Chordata; Mammalia; Rodentia; Muridae.